RNAcentral lists this ribosomal RNA (748 nucleotides) under uncultured archaeon. Its description in RNAcentral is "bacterial SSU rRNA". It matches the Rfam family "Archaeal small subunit ribosomal RNA", at positions 17 to 764 of the family's 1478-position model. The record is from RNAcentral.
GCGGAGGCUACUGCUAUUGGGGUUCGAUUAAGCCAUGCAAGUUGAACGAUUCUUCGGAAUCGUGGCGAACGGCUCAGUAACACGUGGAUAACCUACCCUUAGGACCGGUAUAACCCUGGGAAACUGGGGACAAUCCCGGAUAGGUGAUUUUUUCUGUAAUGAUUUUUCAUUUAAAUGCUCCGGCGCCUGAGGAUGGGUCUGCGGCAGAUUAGGUAGUUGGUAGGGUAAUGGCCUACCAAGCCGGUGAUCUGUACGGGUUGUGAGAGCAAGAGCCCGGAGAUGGAACCUGAGACAAGGUUCCAGGCCCUACGGGGCGCAGCAGGCGCGAAACCUCCGCAAUGCGAGAAAUCGCGACGGGGGGAACCCCAAGUGCCACUCUUAACGGGGUGGCUUUUCUUGAGUGUAAAAAGCUUUUGGAAUAAGGGCUGGGCAAGACCGGUGCCAGCCGCCGCGGUAACACCGGCAGCUCUAGUGGUAGCCAUUUUUAUUGGGCCUAAAGCGUUCGUAGCCGGUUUGAUAAGUCUCUGGUGAAAUCCUGUAGCUUAACUGUGGGAAUUGCUGGAGAUACUAUUAGACUUGAGGUCGGGAGAGGUUAGCGGUACUCCCAGGGUAGGGGUGAAAUCCUGUAAUCCUGGGAGGACCACCUGUGGCGAAGGCGGCUAACUGGAACGAACCUGACGGUGAGGGACGAAAGCCAGGGGCGCGAACCGGAUUAGAUACCCGGGUAGUCCUGGCCGUAAACGAUGUG